CUACGUUGAUCUUGCGUCCGUCCUGUUGAACGAAAACAAACAGAGAACUUCAGUGAAUUAUCACUUAGUUUAUCUGAUGACAAUGCUAAAUAUAGCUGCAUUCCAAAUCAAUAGAACAUGGUAAACAGUUCCACAGUGAAGUACGAAAUUAUGAAGGCAAUGGUCUCAGAAAUAAUAAAUUUAUCAAUCUCGGUCAAUCUUACUCAUCAAUAAACUCAUUAUUGUACCAUUUUGCUCAACAUCAUGAAUUUCAAAACUCCUUCUUGCAACUUGAAUGCCCAGCCUCUGCCACAUUUAUUAAUGGUGAACUUAAAAGUAAGUUAUCAACUACUGAAAAAUUAUAUAUGACAGCCUCAAUCUAUGGAGACAUCUUUGUAAGUGAUCAGCUGUAAUACAGAGACUUGUGCACCCAAAAUAUUAUGAAUAA
This 427-nucleotide unclassified non-coding RNA is filed under the name Hevea brasiliensis (rubber tree). Lineage: Eukaryota; Viridiplantae; Streptophyta; Magnoliopsida; Malpighiales; Euphorbiaceae. The record is from RNAcentral.